Molecule: long non-coding RNA, 238 nt
Organism: Humulus lupulus (European hop)
Lineage: Eukaryota; Viridiplantae; Streptophyta; Magnoliopsida; Rosales; Cannabaceae
Exons: 3
Source: RefSeq, a predicted model, not a curated record
GUUUUCUUUUACCAGGAACAUUCUUUGGUUGGAUGAAUCCCCUUAUGCAGCAUGCAUAUCAAAGACCAAUAACAGAGAAGGAAGUGUGGAAGUUAGAUAGUUGGGAUAGAACAGAAACACUGAAUGCUAAGUUCCAAGAAUGUUGGGUUAAAGAAUCUCAGAAGCCAAAGCCAUGGCUGUUAAAAGCAUUAAACAGUAGCCUUGGAGGAAGGUUUUGGUGGGGAGGCUUUUGGAAGGU